AUUGAACGCUGGCGGCAUGCCUUACACAUGCAAGUCGAACGGCAGCACGGGAGCAAUCCUGGUGGCGAGUGGCGAACGGGUGAGUAAUAUAUCGGAACGUGCCCAGUCGUGGGGGAUAACGUAGCGAAAGCUACGCUAAUACCGCAUACGAUCUAUGGAUGAAAGCGGGGGAUCGCAAGACCUCGCGCGAUUGGAGCGGCCGAUAUCAGAUUAGGUAGUUGGUGAGGUAAAGGCUCGCCAAGCCGACGAUCUGUAGCUGGUCUGAGAGGACGACCAGCCACACUGGGACUGAGACAGGCCCAGACUCCUACGGGAGGCAGCAGUGGGGAAUUUUUGGACAAUGGGCGCAAGCCUGAUCCAGCAAUGCCGCGUGCAGGAUGAAGGCCUCGGUUGUAAC
Molecule: ribosomal RNA, 397 nt
Filed under: uncultured bacterium
Lineage: Bacteria
Description: bacterial SSU rRNA
Rfam family: Bacterial small subunit ribosomal RNA
Source: RNAcentral